UGGGGAAUAUUGGACAAUGGGCGAAAGCCUGACCCAGCCAUGCCGCGUGUGUGAAGAAGGUCUUCGGAUUGUAAAGCACUUUAAGUUGGGAGGAAGGGCAUUAACCUAAUACGUUAGUGUUUUGACGUUACCGACAGAAUAAGCACCGGCUAACUCUGUGCCAGCAGCCGCGGUAAUACAGAGGGUGCAAGCGUUAAUCGGAAUUACUGGGCGUAAAGCGCGCGUAGGUGGUUUGUUAAGUUGGAUGUGAAAUCCCCGGGCUCAACCUGGGAACUGCAUUCAAAACUGACUGACUAGAGUAUGGUAGAGGGUGGUGGAAUUUCCUGUGUAGCGGUGAAAUGCGUAGAUAUAGGAAGGAACACCAGUGGCGAAGGCGACCACCUGGACUAAUACUGACACUGAGGUGCGAAAGCGUGGGGAGCAAACA
Molecule: ribosomal RNA, 427 nt
Filed under: uncultured bacterium
Lineage: Bacteria
Description: partial 16S ribosomal RNA
Rfam family: Bacterial small subunit ribosomal RNA
Source: RNAcentral